AGACUGGGAUAACUUCGGGAAACCGGAGCUAAUACCGGAUAAUAUUUUGAACCGCAUGGUUCAAAAGUGAAAGACGGUCUUGCUGUCACUUAUAGAUGGAUCCGCGCUGCAUUAGCUAGUUGGUAAGGUAACGGCUUACCAAGGCAACGAUGCAUAGCCGACCUGAGAGGGUGAUCGGCCACACUGGAACUGAGACACGGUCCAGACUCCUACGGGAGGCAGCAGUAGGGAAUCUUCCGCAAUGGGCGAAAGCCUGACGGAGCAACGCCGCGUGAGUGAUGAAGGUCUUCGGAUCGUAAAACUCUGUUAUUAGGGAAGAACAUAUGUGUAAGUAACUGUGCACAUCUUGACGGUACCUAAUCAGAAAGCCACGGCUAACUACGUGCCAGCAGCCGCGGUAAUACGUAGGUGGCAAGCGUUAUCCGGAAUUAUUGGGCGUAAAGCGCGCGUAGGCGGUUUUUUAAGUCUGAUGUGAAAGCCCACGGCUCAACCGUGGAGGGUCAUUGGAAACUGGAAAACUUGAGUGCAGAAGAGGAAAGUGGAAUUCCAUGUGUAGCGGUGAAAUGCGCAGAGAUAUGGAGGAACACCAGUGGCGAAGGCGACUUUCUGGUCUGUAACUGACGCUGAUGUGCGAAAGCGUGGGGAUCAAACAGGAUUAGAUACCCUGGUAGUCCACGCCGUAAACGAUGAGUGCUAAGUGUUAGGGGGUUUCCGCCCCUUAGUGCUGCAGCUAACGCAUUAAGCACUCCGCCUGGGGAGUACGACCGCAAGGUUGAAACUCAAAGGAAUUGACGGGGACCCGCACAAGCGGUGGAGCAUGUGGUUUAAUUCGAAGCAACGCGAAGAACCUUACCAAAUCUUGACAUCCUUUGACAACUCUAGAGAUAGAGCCUUCCCCUUCGGGGGACAAAGUGACAGGUGGUGCAUGGUUGUCGUCAGCUCGUGUCGUGAGAUGUUGGGUUAAGUCCCGCAACGAGCGCAACCCUUAAGCUUAGUUGCCAUCAUUAAGUUGGGCACUCUAAGUUGACUGCCGGUGACAAACCGGAGGAAGGUGGGGAUGACGUCAAAUCAUCAUGCCCCUUAUGAUUUGGGCUACACACGUGCUACAAUGGACAAUACAAAGGGCAGCGAAACCGCGAGGUCAAGCAAAUCCCAUAAAGUUGUUCUCAGUUCGGAUUGUAGUCUGCAACUCGACUACAUGAAGCUGGAAUCGCUAGUAAUCGUAGAUCAGCAUGCUACGGUGAAUACGUUCCCGGGUCUUGUACACACCGCCCGUCACACCACGAGAGUUUGUAACACCCGAAGCCGGUGGAGUAACCUUUUAGGAGCUAGCCGUCGAAGGUGGGACAAAUGAUUGGGGUGAAGUCGUAACAAGGUAGCCGUAUCGGAAGGUGCGGCUGGAUCACCU
RNAcentral lists this ribosomal RNA (1408 nucleotides) under Staphylococcus aureus DAR3584. RNAcentral's name for it is "bacterial SSU rRNA". It matches the Rfam family "Bacterial small subunit ribosomal RNA". The record is from RNAcentral. RNAcentral also lists the same sequence under 1 other name. Lineage: Bacteria; Bacillati; Bacillota; Bacilli; Caryophanales; Staphylococcaceae.